GCCCAGAUAGCUCAGUGGUAGAGCACUUGCAUGGUAAGCAAGCGGUCGAAGGUUCGAUUCCUUUUCUGGGCA
Molecule: transfer RNA, 72 nt
Filed under: Parachlamydia sp.
Lineage: Bacteria; Pseudomonadati; Chlamydiota; Chlamydiia; Parachlamydiales; Parachlamydiaceae
Also listed under: 1 other name
Description: tRNA-Thr
Rfam family: tRNA
About the family: Transfer RNA (tRNA) molecules are approximately 80 nucleotides in length. Their secondary structure includes four short double-helical elements and three loops (D, anti-codon, and T loops).
Source: RNAcentral